This 635-nucleotide ribosomal RNA is filed under the name uncultured Marinobacter sp. RNAcentral describes it as "bacterial SSU rRNA". It matches the Rfam family "Bacterial small subunit ribosomal RNA", at positions 870 to 1504 of the family's 1533-position model. The record is from RNAcentral. Lineage: Bacteria; Pseudomonadati; Pseudomonadota; Gammaproteobacteria; Pseudomonadales; Marinobacteraceae.
CGCCUGGGGAGUGCGGCCGCAAGGUUAAAACUCAAAUGAAUUGACGGGGGCCCGCACAAGCGGUGGAGCAUGUGGUUUAAUUCGACGCAACGCGAAGAACCUUACCUGGCCUUGACAUCCAGAGAACUUUCCAGAGAUGGAUUGGUGCCUUCGGGAACUCUGAGACAGGUGCUGCAUGGCCGUCGUCAGCUCGUGUCGUGAGAUGUUGGGUUAAGUCCCGUAACGAGCGCAACCCCUAUCCCUGGUUGCUAGCAGGUAAUGCUGAGAACUCCAGGGAGACUGCCGGUGACAAACCGGAGGAAGGUGGGGAUGACGUCAGGUCAUCAUGGCCCUUACGGCCAGGGCUACACACGUGCUACAAUGGCGCGUACAGAGGGCUGCCAACUCGCGAGAGUGAGCCAAUCCCUUAAAACGCGUCGUAGUCCGGAUCGGAGUCUGCAACUCGACUCUGUGAAGUCGGAAUCGCUAGUAAUCGCGAAUCAGAAUGUCGCGGUGAAUACGUUCCCGGGCCUUGUACACACCGCCCGUCACACCAUGGGAGUGGAUUGCACCAGAAGUAGUUAGUCUAACCUUCGGGAGGACGAUUACCACGGUGUGGUUCAUGACUGGGGUGAAGUCGUAACAAGGUAACCGUA